AGUGAACGCUGGCGGUAGGCCUAACACAUGCAAGUCGAACGGCCGCACAGUAAGAGUUUGCCCUUAAGGGUGGCGAGGGGCGGACGGGUGAGGAAUACAUAGGAAACUACUUUUACGUGGGGGAUAACGGAGGGACAGUUAUGCUAAUACCGCAUACGACGUACGGGUGGAAGCAGGGGAUCUUCGGAGCUUUGGUGUUUGAAUGAGCCGAGGUCGGAUUAGCUAGUUGGCAGGGUAAAGGCCCACCAAGGCGACGAUCCGUAGCUGGUCUGAGAGGAUGAUCAGCCACACUGGAACUGAGACACGGUCCAGACUCCUACGGGAGGCAGCAGUGGGGAAUAUUGGGCAAUGGGCGCAAGCCUGAUCCAGCCAUACCGCGUGGGUGAAGAAGGCCUUCGGGUUGUAAAGCCCUUUUGUUGGGGAAGAAAAGCAGCAGGUGAAUACCCCGCUGUUCUGACGGUACCCAAAGAAUAAGCACCGGCUAACUUCGUG
This 492-nucleotide ribosomal RNA is filed under the name uncultured bacterium. RNAcentral's name for it is "partial 16S ribosomal RNA". It matches the Rfam family "Bacterial small subunit ribosomal RNA", at positions 29 to 507 of the family's 1533-position model. The record is from RNAcentral.